GACGAACGCUGGCGGCGUGCUUAACACAUGCAAGUCGAACGAAGAGCGAUGGGAGCUUGCUUCUAUCAAUCUUAGUGGCGAACGGGUGAGUAACGCGUAAUCAACCUGCCCUUCAGAGGGGGACAACAGUUGGAAACGACUGCUAAUACCGCAUACGAUCUAAUCUCGGCAUCGAGGAUAGAUGAAAGGUGGCCUCUACAUGUAAGCUAUCACUGAAGGAGGGGAUUGCGUCUGAUUAGCUAGUUGGAGGGGUAACGGCCCACCAAGGCGAUGAUCAGUAGCCGGUCUGAGAGGAUGAACGGCCACAUUGGGACUGAGCCACGGCCCAGACUCCUACGGGAGGCAGCAGUGGGGAAUCUUCCGCAAGGGACGAAAGUCUGACGGAGCAACGCCGCGUGAGUGAUGACGGCCUUCGGGUUGUAAAGCUCUGUUAAUCGGGACGAAAGGCCUUCUUGCGAACAGUUAGAAGGAUUGACGGUACCGGAAUAGAAAGCCACGGCUAACUACGUG
RNAcentral lists this ribosomal RNA (510 nucleotides) under uncultured bacterium. RNAcentral describes it as "partial 16S ribosomal RNA". It matches the Rfam family "Bacterial small subunit ribosomal RNA", at positions 28 to 507 of the family's 1533-position model. The record is from RNAcentral.